UCUGGAUCCUCCUCCACCAAUCAACAUCAGCCCUUGGCUCCGUCUGCACUUCCCGGCGGAAUUUGGACCGUAGUCAGCUGACCAUCGAUCGUCACGUGACAGCUCCAUGCCGGAAGACACGGCAAUCCACACCUGGGUUUGACAGUUCCCUUGCGCAGAGUUUAGUCCCCGCCUUCGCUCUUUACCGCCUGACGUUCUCCUUCACUUGGAAAGGCUCAAGUGAUGUAGUAAUACUCAACACACUGGGCUACAGUUUUUGUCUGGAUCUAGUGGAGGAAGAGAGAAGCCAGCUAAGGACAGUGCCUCAGGAGCAGCAGGGACAGAGAGUCACAAAGUCCUCCCGGGGAUGAAGGGGUUCAGAGAGAAGCCACCAGAGUCAACACCAUCUAAGCUCUGCACGCUCUGGGCAACAAGGCUGGCCCAGGAACGCUCCUCUCCAGGAAAACGCGCUCAAAGGUGCACACGAGGACGCUCACUGUGACAGCAUGCGGAGCCACAGGUCUGCCGACUGGGACUUCUAAUUAAAGCAGAGUGUCCUCACGUGGUGGAUACCUCAUAGCCUUAUGCGACAGCUAGGCAGGGCCCUCCAAAAAACCGCAGAGGAAGGAACACUUCCCAACUCAUUCCGUAAGUUCAACAUUUCUCUGAUACCAAAGCCAGACAAAGAUAUUACAAGGAA
Non-coding RNA from Kogia breviceps (pygmy sperm whale), 679 nucleotides. The record is from RefSeq and is a predicted model, not a curated record. Lineage: Eukaryota; Metazoa; Chordata; Mammalia; Artiodactyla; Physeteridae.